This 641-nucleotide ribosomal RNA is filed under the name uncultured fungus. Its description in RNAcentral is "eukaryotic LSU rRNA". The stretch from base 231 to 384 matches the Rfam family "5.8S ribosomal RNA". Lineage: Eukaryota; Fungi. The record is from RNAcentral.
UCCGUAGGUGAACCUGCGGAAGGAUCAUUACAGUAUUCUUUUUGCCAGCGCUUAAUUGCGCGGCGAAAAAACCUUACACACAGUGUUUUUUGUUAUUACAAGAACUCUUGCUUUGGUCUGGACUAGAAAUAGUUUGGGCCAGAGGUUUACUAAACUAAACUUCAAUAUUUAUAUUGAAUUGUUAUUUAUUUUAAUUGUCAAUUUGUUGAUUAAAUUCAAAAAAUCUUCAAAACUUUCAACAACGGAUCUCUUGGUUCUCGCAUCGAUGAAGAACGCAGCGAAAUGCGAUAAGUAAUAUGAAUUGCAGAUUUUCGUGAAUCAUCGAAUCUUUGAACGCACAUUGCGCCCUUUGGUAUUCCAAAGGGCAUGCCUGUUUGAGCGUCAUUUCUCUCUCAAACCUUCGGGUUUGGUAUUGAGUGAUACUCUUAGUCGAACUAGGCGUUUGCUUGAAAUGUAUUGGCAUGAGUGGUACUGGAUAGUGCUAUAUGACUUUCAAUGUAUUAGGUUUAUCCAACUCGUUGAAUAGUUUAAUGGUAUAUUUCUCGGUAUUCUAGGCUCGGCCUUACAAUAUAACAAACAAGUUUGACCUCAAAUCAGGUAGGACUACCCGCUGAACUUAAGCAUAUCAAUAAGCGGAGGAA